GAUAAGAUUGAAGUGGGGAUAAUGUGUAGUAUAUAUAUAUAUAUGUAUAUAUGCAUAAGUGGAGGAGAGGCCAAGUUGCAGUUAAAAUUUGAUUUGAUCCUCAGUUUAAGCCAUGGCCGAGAGAGCCGAGACUGAGAGAUCGGAAGAGAGAUCGAGAAAGAGGGGCCGUGCUGGCUAGAUUUGCAAUGGCGAUGGAUUUGGCAGCCAUGGCAGCUCGUCAGAGAGCUGGUUGCGGAGGCAGGAGGCGCUGCGAGCAGCAGCAGCGGCCGAUGGUGGUUGCCGGUGGCACGGCGAGGCCGACAGAGGCCGUCGGGGAGAUGACAUGCAAAGCGAGUAGUACCCAUGGCAGCUCACAGCAACAGCAAGCACAGCGAGGAGGCUGCCGGCAUGGGUGGAAGCGGCCAUGGCAGCCACGGCUGUUGCAGCUGGGCGACUGCGUGCAGGCUGCGGGCGGGAGGCGGUGGCUAUUGGGGCGGCGCUGUGCGGUCGUUCGAUUGUCGGUGAGGCGAGGGGCGACCGGAGGUGGCCGGCUAUGGGGGAGCAGGCUGCUGGGCAUGCGCGCAGGCACUGGUUCGCGCACAGGGGAGAUGCUAGAGGAAGAAGAAGUGAAUAGGAAGAGGAAGAAAAAGAAAAGAAAAAAACAAAUUAAGAAAAAUGUGAAAAAAAUUCUAGAAUAAUAGGAAACUAUGUUUUGGUAAUAUUUUGGAGAAUUUGGUAAGAAAAAUUGUUCGGGCUGGCGUUUCAAGGUCAGGGCACGUAUACCGAGGAUGUCUGAGAGGCUAAGUUAAGGAUACUUUGAGAUUUAAGUUGAAGUGACUUAUGCAAAUUUUGAGGUUGGCACGCAAAUCGAGGCGAUCCACAUAUUUCGAGGCAAGAUGCGAAUAUCAAGGUAGCUCGAUAAGUUUGAGAAGGUAAAGGCAAUGACUUAUUCGUGAGAGAGUCUAGUGGUUCCCAACUUCCGGGUUAGACGAUGUACAGGGCCAUGCAAAACCUAGCAGUUGUUAGCCUGGGGGUUCUUUUUUAUGCAUUUUGUCGCUUUCAGAUUGUAUUUUGAUUCAGUUUAUUUGGGUCUGUAUGGAUUAUGAUUUAUUUGUUGCCGGUGUGUCAGUGAUGUAUGUUAUGCAUGCCUAGGCUAUGUAGGCUAAGAGAUCAGUUGUUGUAAAGCAGGUUGAGGUUUUGAUAUUCAUGCUGAGAUGACAAGUUUCCUUUAUCAAGUAUUUUUUUGGUAUGCAUUAGUUGCAUGCAUGACAGGUUCAUCCAGGUCCAGGUUGCCUCUAUUUUAGUAGGGCACUCGCUUUGUUUCUUUGGGGACUUGGGAGGAGGCCUUACAAUCAAAGCA
Molecule: long non-coding RNA, 1339 nt
Organism: Diospyros lotus (date-plum)
Lineage: Eukaryota; Viridiplantae; Streptophyta; Magnoliopsida; Ericales; Ebenaceae
Exons: 3
Source: RefSeq, a predicted model, not a curated record